Molecule: ribosomal RNA, 512 nt
Filed under: uncultured bacterium
Lineage: Bacteria
Description: bacterial SSU rRNA
Rfam family: Bacterial small subunit ribosomal RNA
Source: RNAcentral
GACCUGGCGGCGUGCUAAUCAUGCAAGUCGAACGCACGAAGUUGAAGAGCUUGCUCUUUAAUCAAGUGAGUGGCGGACGGGUGAGUAACACGUGGGUAACCUGCCCAUUAGAGGGGGAUAACAUUCGGAAACGGAUGCUAAUACCGCAUAGUUUCAGGAAUCGCAUGAUUCUUGAAGGAAAGGUGGCCUCGGCUACCACUAAUGGAUGGACCCGCGGCGUAUUAGCUAGUUGGUGAGGUAAUGGCUCACCAAGGCAAUGAUACGUAGCCGACCUGAGAGGGUGAUCGGCCACACUGGGACUGAGACACGGCCCAGACUCCUACGGGAGGCAGCAGUAGGGAAUCUUCCGCAAUGGACGAAAGUCUGACGGAGCAACGCCGCGUGAGUGAAGAAGGUUUUCGGAUCGUAAAACUCUGUUGUUAAAGAAGAACAAGGAUGAGAGUAACUGCUCAUCCCCUGACGGUAUUUAACCAGAAAGCCACGGCUAACUACGUGCCAGCAGCCGCGGUAAU